This 41-nucleotide ribosomal RNA is filed under the name Dictyosporium cf. heptasporum. Its description in RNAcentral is "partial 28S ribosomal RNA". Lineage: Eukaryota; Fungi; Ascomycota; Dothideomycetes; Pleosporales; Dictyosporiaceae. The record is from RNAcentral.
UUUAACCUCGAAUCAGGUAGGGAUACCCCCUGAACUUAAGC